UACAUGGGGUGCAAACGUUGCUCGGAAUUAUUGGGCGUAAAGCGCGCGUAGGCGGUUACUUAAGUCGGAUGUGAAAGCCCUCGGCUUAACUGAGGAAGUGCACCCGAAACUGAGUAGCUAGAGUACGAAAGAGGGUCGCGGAAUUCCCGGUGUAGAGGUGAAAUUCGUAGAUAUCGGGAGGAACACCGGUGGCGAAGGCGGCGACCUGGGUCGAUACUGACGCUGAUGCGCGAAAGCGUGGGGAGCAAACAGG
This 253-nucleotide ribosomal RNA is filed under the name uncultured bacterium. Its description in RNAcentral is "partial 16S ribosomal RNA". It matches the Rfam family "Bacterial small subunit ribosomal RNA", at positions 524 to 776 of the family's 1533-position model. The record is from RNAcentral.